GGGAUGCAGUCUGGGACACGUAGUUGCAAACCUAGCGACUUUGUUGUUAGAUUCAAUGACUUUUCAGACCCCCUAACGACUUUUUUUUUAGAAAGAAAGUGACUUUUAUCGACUUCUUCUGGAGUUUAGAGACUCUGACAUGAAGCAGGCUUUCCUUACUGAGGAGUUAGCAACGCUGCUAAGGGUGCAGAGCCACACAUGCGCUCCGAGCUCUGCAUGGGAGACUGAAGCUGACAGAGCUGCAGCAGUUAGCAGGUUUCACCCUCAGAGACCACCAGGGGUUCAUGUUGAGGCAUUUUCAGUUUUUUUUUUUUUUUUUGCCAUAGACACUGUCAGCACAAUCUGCAGUUACACUAACAAAAAUGCUGCAAAAAACAAAGAAUUAUGGAAAAAUUACACAUGGACUAACAUAGAGGAGGAUCUACACAAGUUUUUUACAUCAUGUUUUACAUCAUGCAUCAUUUACAUCAUGUUUUUUUGUAGUGGCAUGAAUAAAAAGUGACAUUUGUGAGACUAUACAGUGUUUUGUAAAUAAUUUUACAAAGAACACCUGGGCCAUUGCCUGCAUUUUGAUGUAAAUAGAGGUAAAUUACUAUGUUCUUUGUUAAAACUUUGCAUAUGUUUUGAAGUUUACAAUUUUUAUUUGAAGUUUAAGUUCUUAAAACAGUUCAUCACACAUAUUUGUGGUUUUCACAGUAAAAACGUUACUUUUUUCCACUCGGAUUUUAUGUUUUGUGUGUGAAUUUGGGUCCAAUGUGUAAAUAUAGUAUGUCAAAAUGAUAAAAUAACUGUAAAUUGACACAGGUGAGGUUGUGCUGAAAAAAAUGAUACCAGGCAAGGCAAGGUAAAUAUUUUGUAAGAGGAAAUAUAAAGGUAAAAUCUAAAGUAGUCAAAAACGGCCAAUAGUGACUCACAGACUCCACAGACAAGUCCCUUUGGCGCCACUCAGUGGGCAAAACUACUUUGUCUACUGUAAUGUAUAUUUGGGUCAUCUUUGGCGCCCCCUAAAACGUAAACCGUGGGGUGCAGCGUCAUGAUUUUUACAACUUUGAAUGGCCAUGGAGUGUAGAUUGGCCUGAGCAAAUUUGGUGUCAGUGGGACGAAAGCCUUAGGAGGAGUUAGCGAAAUUCCAAUGUGUGCGAAUCGGCAAAAAAUGCAAAAUAGCCCUUUUACCGUACAUUAUACAGAUACGCGCUCUUUGACUUUUUCGUAGAUCUAAUUGAGAUACACAUGAUUGUCAAUUUUUGUGUCAUUUUGCCAAAGCGUACAGGCGUGACAGUCAACAAUGUGUAUUUUCACCUUAGGGGACAAGAAAAAAUGGACUUUUUUCUCCUGCCAUGGGGGGCGCUCUUUUAGGGAGUAAAAAUUCCUUCACAAAUGUGUUGAUGGCUGGACAUUGCAUCAUCCUAGAAAACUUGGAGGCCAGUGAGGACAAAAAUAAAAAGUUAUAAGACUUUUAAAAAUGUGGAUUUUUGGGUUAUCUUUGGCGCCCCCUAGAACGAAAACCGUGGGGUGCAGCGUCAUGAUUUGAAUAACUUUUAAUGGCCAUGGGGUGUAGAUUGGCCUGAGCAAAUGUGGUGCCGGUGGAACGAAAGCCUUCGGAGGAGUUAGCGAAAUUCCAAUGUGUGCGAAUCGGCAAAAAAUGCGGAAUAACCCUUUAACCGUACAUUUGACAGAUACGCGUGCAUUGACUUUUUUGUAGAUCUUAUUGAGAUACAUGUGUGUGUCAAUUUUUGUGUCAUUUUGACAAAGCGUACAGGCGUGACACUCAACAAUGUGUAUUUUCACCUUAUGGGACAAGAAAA
Molecule: non-coding RNA, 1805 nt
Organism: Xyrichtys novacula (pearly razorfish)
Lineage: Eukaryota; Metazoa; Chordata; Actinopteri; Labriformes; Labridae
Source: the annotation of a GenBank genome assembly